This 2326-nucleotide ribosomal RNA is filed under the name Salmonella enterica. RNAcentral describes it as "partial 23S ribosomal RNA". It matches the Rfam family "Bacterial large subunit ribosomal RNA", at positions 711 to 2925 of the family's 2925-position model. The record is from RNAcentral. Lineage: Bacteria; Pseudomonadati; Pseudomonadota; Gammaproteobacteria; Enterobacterales; Enterobacteriaceae. RNAcentral also lists the same sequence under 1 other name.
AGACCCGAAACCCGGUGAUCUAGCCAUGGGCAGGUUGAAGGUUGGGUAACACUAACUGGAGGACCGAACCGACUAAUGUUGAAAAAUUAGCGGAUGACCUGUGGCUGGGGGUGAAAGGCCAAUCAAACCGGGAGAUAGCUGGUUCUCCCCGAAAGCUAUUUAGGUAGCGCCUCGUGAAUUCAUCUCCGGGGGUAGAGCACUGUUUCGGCUAGGGGGCCAUCCCGGCUUACCAACCCGAUGCAAACUGCGAAUACCGGAGAAUGUUAUCACGGGAGACACACGGCGGGUGCUAACGUCCGUCGUGAAGAGGGAAACAACCCAGACCGCCAGCUAAGGUCCCAAAGUCAUGGUUAAGUGGGAAACGAUGUGGGAAGGCCCAGACAGCCAGGAUGUUGGCUUAGAAGCAGCCAUCAUUUAAAGAAAGCGUAAUAGCUCACUGGUCGAGUCGGCCUGCGCGGAAGAUGUAACGGGGCUAAACCAUGCACCGAAGCUGCGGCAGCGAACGUAUCACCCAAGACAACUUUACGGAGUUGACGAUUGACGGAGCGAAGCGACGUCAAAGCGUUCAUUAAAGUCGAGUUGGCUUAGGGAUACGUUCGUUGGGUAGGGGAGCGUUCUGUAAGCCUGUGAAGGUGUGUCGUGAGGCAUGCUGGAGGUAUCAGAAGUGCGAAUGCUGACAUAAGUAACGAUAAAGCGGGUGAAAAGCCCGCUCGCCGGAAGACCAAGGGUUCCUGUCCAACGUUAAUCGGGGCAGGGUGAGUCGACCCCUAAGGCGAGGCCGAAAGGCGUAGUCGAUGGGAAACGGGUUAAUAUUCCCGUACUUGGUGUUACUGCGAAGGGGGGACGGAGAAGGCUAUGUUGGCCGGGCGACGGUUGUCCCGGUUUAAGCGUGUAGGUGUGUGUUCCAGGUAAAUCCGGUUCACUUUAACACUGAGGCGUGACGACGAGGCACUACGGUGCUGAAGCAACAAAUGCCCUGCUUCCAGGAAAAGCCUCUAAGCAUCAGGUAACACGAAAUCGUACCCCAAACCGACACAGGUGGUCAGGUAGAGAAUACCAAGGCGCUUGAGAGAACUCGGGUGAAGGAACUAGGCAAAAUGGUGCCGUAACUUCGGGAGAAGGCACGCUGACACGUAGGUGAAGUGAUUUACUCAUGGAGCUGAAGUCAGUCGAAGAUACCAGCUGGCUGCAACUGUUUAUUAAAAACACAGCACUGUGCAAACACGAAAGUGGACGUAUACGGUGUGACGCCUGCCCGGUGCCGGAAGGUUAAUUGAUGGGGUCAGCGCAAGCGAAGCUCCUGAUCGAAGCCCCGGUAAACGGCGGCCGUAACUAUAACGGUCCUAAGGUAGCGAAAUUCCUUGUCGGGUAAGUUCCGACCUGCACGAAUGGCGUAAUGAUGGCCAGGCUGUCUCCACCCGAGACUCAGUGAAAUUGAACUCGCUGUGAAGAUGCAGUGUACCCGCGGCAAGACGGAAAGACCCCGUGAACCUUUACUAUAGCUUGACACUGAACAUUGAGCCUUGAUGUGUAGGAUAGGUGGGAGGCUUUGAAGUGUGGACGCCAGUCUGCAUGGAGCCGACCUUGAAAUACCACCCUUUAAUGUUUGAUGUUCUAACGUGGACCCGUUACCCGGGUUGCGGACAGUGUCUGGUGGGUAGUUUGACUGGGGCGGUCUCCUCCUAAAGAGUAACGGAGGAGCACGAAGGUUGGCUAAUCCUGGUCGGACAUCAGGAGGUUAGUGCAAUGGCAUAAGCCAGCUUGACUGCGAGCGUGACGGCGCGAGCAGGUGCGAAAGCAGGUCAUAGUGAUCCGGUGGUUCUGAAUGGAAGGGCCAUCGCUCAACGGAUAAAAGGUACUCCGGGGAUAACAGGCUGAUACCGCCCAAGAGUUCAUAUCGACGGCGGUGUUUGGCACCUCGAUGUCGGCUCAUCACAUCCUGGGGCUGAAGUAGGUCCCAAGGGUAUGGCUGUUCGCCAUUUAAAGUGGUACGCGAGCUGGGUUUAGAACGUCGUGAGACAGUUCGGUCCCUAUCUGCCGUGGGCGCUGGAGAACUGAGGGGGGCUGCUCCUAGUACGAGAGGACCGGAGUGGACGCAUCACUGGUGUUCGGGUUGUCAUGCCAAUGGCACUGCCCGGUAGCUAAAUGCGGAAGAGAUAAGUGCUGAAAGCAUCUAAGCACGAAACUUGCCCCGAGAUGAGUUCUCCCUGAGACUUAGAGUCUCCUGAAGGAACGUUGAAGACGACGACGUUGAUAGGCCGGGUGUGUAAGCGCAGCGAUGCGUUGAGCUAACCGGUACUAAUGAACCGUGAGGCUUAACCUUACA